RNAcentral lists this unclassified non-coding RNA (446 nucleotides) under Hevea brasiliensis (rubber tree). Lineage: Eukaryota; Viridiplantae; Streptophyta; Magnoliopsida; Malpighiales; Euphorbiaceae. The record is from RNAcentral.
CCAAAUACUGAUGGAAUUGAUCCUGAUUCAUGUGAGGAUAUGAUAAUCGAAAACUGUUACAUAAGUGUGGGGGAUGAUGGCAUUGCUAUAAAGAGUGGGUGGGAUCAGUAUGGAAUUGCAUAUGGACGACCUUCAAUGAAUAUUCUCAUCCGUAACCUUGUGGUUCAAUCUAUGGUCAGUGCUGGAGUAUCAAUCGGCAGUGAGAUGUCAGGUGGUGUAUCAAAUGUCACUGUGGAAAACCUCCUUGUUUGGAGCUCAAGGCGUGCAGUUCGGAUCAAGACGGCCCCUGGAAGAGGUGGAUAUGUUCGACACAUAACCUACCGGAAUCUAACAUUUGACAAUGUCCGGGUCGGAAUUGUUAUCAAGACAGAUUAUAACGAACAUCCUGAUGAAGGUUAUGAUCGUAAGGCAUUUCCAAAACUUGACGACAUAAGCUUCACUGGGGU